Otolemur garnettii (small-eared galago) is the source of this 107-nucleotide small nuclear RNA. NCBI's taxonomy places the organism in Eukaryota, Metazoa, Chordata, Mammalia, Primates, Galagidae. The record is from Ensembl.
GUGCUUGCUUCGGCAGCACAUAUACUAAAAUUGGAACAAUACAAAGAAGAUUAGCAUGGCCCCUGCACAAGGAUGACACACAAAUUCAUGAAGCGUUCCAUAGUUUU